This 460-nucleotide ribosomal RNA is filed under the name uncultured bacterium. RNAcentral's name for it is "partial 16S ribosomal RNA". It matches the Rfam family "Bacterial small subunit ribosomal RNA", at positions 338 to 795 of the family's 1533-position model. The record is from RNAcentral.
CCUACGGGUGGCUGCAGUGAGGAAUAUUGGUCAAUGGGCGUAAGCCUGAACCAGCCAAGUCGCGUGAGGGAUGAAGGUUCUAUGGAUCGUAAACCUCUUUUAUAAGGGAAUAAAGUGCGGGACGUGUCCCGUUUUGUAUGUACCUUAUGAAUAAGGAUCGGCUAACUCCGUGCCAGAAUCCGCGGUAAUACGGAGGAUCCGAGCGUUAUCCGGAUUUAUUUGGUUUAAAGGGUGCGUAGGCGGCCUUUUAAGUCAGCGGUGAAAGUCUGUGGCUCAACCAUAGACUUGCCGUUGAAACUGGGAGGCUUGAGUUGGUGUGAGGGAGGCGGAAUGCGUGGGGUAGCGGUGAAAUGCAUAGAUAUCACGCAGAACCCCGAUUGCGAAGGCAGCAUGCCAGGCCAUGACUGACGCUGAUGCACGAAAGCGUGGGGAUCAAACAGGAUUAGAUACCCGAGUAGUC